AAACAGCUGGCCUCUUGUCCAUUGUCAGAAUGAAAAUGUUAUGAAAGCAGACCAAAAGACAGAGACCUCAAAGUGAAUGUACAUUUAAAAUGCACGAUUGAUUAUUUAAGGAAUCUGUGAGACUUCUGGAUUCUGUACACAGAAUGAGAAAGUGGAAAAGCAACUAUUGCAUAUACAUCCCAUUUUACCCUCCAGAGCUCUCCCAUUGAUUCAAGGAAAACUGAUUGAAGAAAAUGUACUCAUUAUGCAUGGACAAAGCUUGUAGAAAGAAAUAAUAGGCUCUUGAACAGCUGAGAAGGAAGUUCUAACCUCAGAGUACCACGAG
This 325-nucleotide long non-coding RNA is filed under the name Gallus gallus (chicken). Lineage: Eukaryota; Metazoa; Chordata; Aves; Galliformes; Phasianidae. The record is from RNAcentral.